Molecule: non-coding RNA, 6672 nt
Organism: Monodelphis domestica (gray short-tailed opossum)
Lineage: Eukaryota; Metazoa; Chordata; Mammalia; Didelphimorphia; Didelphidae
Source: RefSeq, a predicted model, not a curated record
GCAGUUCCUUCCUGGCUGCCUUUUACCUUUUUUCUCAGAAGAAAGCCUCGUGUGCCCCACGACCCCUGCCCUGCAUACGUGCCCUUUGACAUGGUGGAAGGUGGUUGGCCCCACGGCUUCCGCAGCCUCAGACUUCGAUGCCAAUCUUGAGGAAGCUCCGUCCCCCGAUUCCAUCUUGGCUCUCGCAUGGUGUACCCCAAUCAGCAUGGCAGACUACCAAACAGGAGCUGGUUCCAGGAUGGGCAUGCAUGGCUCCCUCUCUUCCCCUUCUUCACUCCCUUCCCUUCUUGUCCCAGUCUGGUCUUUCCCCUGGUUCCUCCAAUUCUUCCUCCUGUCAUUUUUCCUCCUUCUCCAUCUUCCUUUGACCCUCCUUUUCCCUCUAGAGAGACCCUGGGAAAAUGAGGCACCGUUGCCUGGCAGGAUUGUGACAUCAGCAUUUCAGAGGGGGCAGAUGAGGAGAGAAAGGCAAGAAAGGAUGAUGGGGACUGGGGUGGGUAGAGCAGAGCCACUCCAAGAAGGGAAGGUUGAAUAUGGGGCUUCUAGAUGGGUGACCCUGGGCAAGUCACUUUACCCCUGUGGCCCAGGCCUUACCACUCUUCUGCCUAGGAACCAAAACUUAAUAAGGGAAGGGGUUAAAAAAAAGAAUAUGGCGGUUCUUCAUCUGGGUCCACUUGCAAAGCUCAUUUACUCUUUCAAUGGACUGUAAGGAAAUUAGGAACCCCGAGAAUGUUGUCUUUGUAGUCUUCGGUAUUCAGAAAUGUCCUUCUGGGAAGAAGUAGGGAGGCUUCCCCAGGGGCCGUGCCCACGUGCCCACGGGCACCAUGAUGCCCAAAGCUGACUUUGUAGAGGAAGAGGCAGUUCUGGCCCUGGUCCGAAUGCCAUUCAUGCUUAGAAUUGGCCUCACUUCCUUCUGGGACUUCUUUUCUUCUACCAUAGGUACUAAUGCAAUCUCUGAGACCAUGAUGCAACCGAGUAUGUAUCCAGUCCCUGCUGCUAAUCUUGAUCUAAAACACCAUGAACACAGGAUCUCCCCCAGCCAGCCCUGCCCCAUCCAUAUGUGGAACAAUCAAUUACAACAAAUGGAGAGAUUUUGAAUACUGUGGAUAAGUUCGCCUCCAGAGAUGUGCCCAUGGGUGAGGGCAGAGUGGGAUGGAUAGAGCAUUCAGCUUGGAAGCAGAAAGACUCAUCUUCAUGAGUUCAAAUCUGGCUUCCGAUACUUACUAGCUGUGUGACUCUGAGUGAGUUACUUCACCCCGUUUGCCUCAGUUUCCUCAUCUGUAUAAUAAGCUGAGGAGAGAAUUGGCCAGAAUAUCCCCAAAGGAGUCACAAAGAGUCAGAUAUGACUGAAAACCCGCCUAAACAACCACCACAGAAGUUACCUUUGAUGAACUCAAGUCAGCUGGGCUGUAAGCACUACGUCUAAGACUGCAUUCCCUUUGAUCCAGGAAUACCACAGGCAACAGAAAGGCUCAGGAUCAUCAGUUUGGCACUAAUGAGAACUUGGAGUUCAUCUGACUCAACCUUUUCAUUUUACAGAUGAGGAAACCAAGACCUAGAGAGAGGAAAUGAUUGGCCCAAGAUAUCUCCCAAUAGCGAUCCAGCAGAGAUGCGAACCCAAAUCCAGCUCUCCUCCCCCUGGGUCUGUCUCCUGGGGCAUAGGAGAGUCCUCUGCCCAUCACAAGAGCAGUUCUGCCCGCAGUCAGUCAGCAGGGUGGUGACUUCCAUCCUCCACAAUGCUUGCCACAUUUCCUUCCUCGUGUGGAUGAAGGUAAACGCUGCCUCCACAAGGUUCUGUACUAGCUAGACCCUGACUUGGGCUUCUUCCUGUUCUUUCCAUUUAUUCAAUCAUUCAUUCAUUUUUUAAGCAGCUAAUACCCCUGAGGAAACCCGCUAGGAGCUGGCAAAGCAACGACAACAUGAAACCACCCCUGCCCGAGAGGAGCUUCCCCUCUCCUGGGGGACACAAGAUGGAAGGCAACAUGGAGCACAGACAAAAAUCCUUUCUGGGGAUGGGGACUAGGGAUGAUGGGAAAGAGCACUGGCAUCUCUCCCCUCCUCCUCCUCCUUCUCCUCCUCGGUGCUGGGAUCCCCUCGCAAGGUCUCCCUCCUCCCUCUCUCUUCCACAGCUUUGCUUGGAGUUUCCAUAGUGACAGGCUUGGAGGACUCCCCAGGAAUCCCAGAGCCAUCUCCUGGACCUCCCACAUGGCUGAGGAGGGGGCAGCCCCAGGCCCACUCAGAUCGCUCUUUGUCUCUCACUCCUCUGUCCAACAAGAAAGUGGGCACUUACUUCUCUGCACUGACUCUGUCUCCUUUGAUCCCCAGACACUUCUCAGCCUCACACCUGUCCCAACUGCCACCAACAGCUUCCAUGGGUCAGGGUUCCUGGCCCCUGAUUGGGCCGAGGACAGAAUUUCUGGGCAGUGUCUCCUGUGACUGUCAGCAGGGCAGUCCCUCCUCUGAGACACCGUCCAGUCCACCACCAAAGCGAGGCUGGGAGGUGAUUCAGAGGAAAUGGCUCUCUUCAGGGCCCUCCUGGCCAAUCCCAUGGCCCUGGGCCAUAGGGGUAUGGGCUGGGAGGUUCUUUGAACAAUCCGGGCCUUCUGCCUCCUACUCUAGCUGUCUUUCCCUUGGCCACAGGCCUACCUGCCUCCUUCCUUCUCCUCUAGCCAAUGGGAAGAGCCUCUGGAUGAGUAUCCCGCCUCUAGUUUCUCCAUGCAGGACUCCGCCAUUAGGUCAAACUGCCUUAAGUAGGGCUUUUGUGACAGUCAUAACUUGGGGUCUGCGUGGCUGGAACAAGCGCCACCAGCCGGUGGAUGAAUGGCCCAAAGGCCACUCUCACUUGAGCAGGAAGAGGAACAGCGAGCCGGCCGUAAAGCCCACCCUCGGCAAGCUUCCCACUUUAACAAAGAAUGAACUUCUCUGGGCACCCCAAAAUUCUGCCCUGCUCUCCCACAGGCCCUCCGUGAAUGUGGGGCACAGACCUCUGUUCUACUCCUGGAACGUCUCCAUGUCAACUAUUCCUCACUGGCUCUCUGGACGGUGACCGUCUUCAAGGUGAAGGAUCAGCCUCCCAAGGAGGGCUCUGGCAAGGACCUUCUCUGAGAGUCGGUGGAGGCCUCCUUCAUCUCCUGGGUGCCCCUGGAGACGUUCAUGGCCACUGCAGGUCAGCCCAUGAGGCCCGGCUGCAGGACUCUGGAUGACGGACGAUGGAUGCUCUCCUGCGUUCCCACUGGAGUCAAGCUGGGCUGUGUGCUUGCUUUCACCUCUGUUUGAACUGUCUCCAGAAGAUCCAGAAGAUCACCCGGUGAGAUAAGAGGUCCUUUCUCCAGCUGGGCUGCCAAGCUUUCAGAUCUGACUCCAGAGGGCACAACUCCAGUGGACUGGCCACAUGGUUCGCAUGCCUGACAGACCAUUUCAUGGAGAGUCCACACCGGGCAAGGGCUCACCGAGUUGAGACGCACUACAAGGACACGUUCAAGGUCUCUCUAUAGAACUUCAUUAUCGAUUGGGAGGCAUUGGCAGCACCCUGCAGGUGUGCCCCAUCCAAGAAGGGGCUGGACGCUCUGGGGAAGGAGGAACGGCAGUAGUUCAGAAGAUCCGUGACAUCCGCAGAGUUCAAGCCACCUCCAUCCCAGACGUUCAUACAGGCUACUUGUGCCCGUCCUGUGGUAGAGUGGGGUGGUCCGCCAUGGCCAGGCACACUGUGCGCUGACCCCGACCCAAUCAUGCCAUUUUGGUCCUCUUCUCGUAGACCAACCAACCAUUCUAACGAACGUCGCUGAAAACUGCUGAGCUCGAUCGUUUCUAAAAGGAGCAGCAGCACUCGGUAACUUUGGUUACUAUCCACUAAAGGCAGCACUUGGUGACUUUGGUUACUAUCCACUAAAGGCAGCACUCGGUGACUUUGGUUACUAUCCACUAAAGGCGGCACUCGGUGACUUUGGUUACUAUCCACUAAAGGCAGCACUCGGUGACUUUGGUUACUAUCCACUAAAGGCAGCACUCGGUGACUUUGGUUACUAUCCACUAAAGGCAGCACUCGGUGACUUUGGUUACUAUCCACUAAAGGCGGCACUCGGUGACUUUACUAAAGGCAGCACUUGGUGACUUUGGUUACUAUCCACUAAAGGCAGCACUCGGUGACUUUGGUUACUAUCCACUAAAGGCAGCACUCGGUGACUUUGGUUACUAUCCACUAAAGGCAGCACUCGGUGACUUUGGUUACUAUCCACUAAAGGCAGCACUCGGUGACUUUGGUUACUAUCCACUAAAGGCAGCACUCGGUGACUUUGGUUACUAUCCACUAAAGGCGGCACUCGGUGACUUGGGUUACUAUCCACUAAAGGCGGCACUCGGUGACUUUGGUUACUAUCCACUAAAGGCAGCACUCGGUGACUUUGGUUACUAUCCACUAAAGGCAGCACUCGGUGACUUUGGUUACUAUCCACUAAAGGCAGCACUCGGUGACUUUGGUUACUAUCCACUAAAGGCGGCACUCGGUGACUUUGGUUACUAUCCACUAAAGGCAGCACUCGGUAACUUUGGUUACUAUCCACUAAAGGCGGCACUCGGUGACUUUGGUUACUAUCCACUAAAGGCAGCACUCGGUGACUUGGGUUACUAUCCACUAAAGGCGGCACUCGGUGACUUUGGUUACUAUCCACUAAAGGCAGCACUCGGUGACUUUGGUUACUAUCCACUAAAGGCAGCACUCGGUGACUUUGGUUACUAUCCACUAAAGGCGGCACUCGGUGACUUUGGUUACUAUCCACUAAAGGCAGCACUCGGUGACUUUGGUUACUAUCCACGGAAAGGCGGCACUCGGUGACUUUGGUUACUAUCCACUAAAGGUAGCACUCGGUGACUUGGGUUACUAUCCACUAAAGGCGGCACUCGGUGACUUGGGUUACUAUCCACUAAAGGCAGCACUCGGUGACUUUGGUUACUAUCCACUAAAGGCAGCACUCGGUGACUUUGGUUACUAUCCACUAAAGGCGGCACUCGGUGACUUUGGUUACUAUCCACUAAAGGCAGCACUCGGUGACUUUGGUUACUAUCCACUAAAGGCAGCACUCGGUGACUUUGGUUACUAUCCACGGAAAGGCGGCACUCGGUGACUUUGGUUACUAUCCACUAAAGGUAGCACUCGGUGACUUGGGUUACUAUCCACUAAAGGCGGCACUCGGUGACUUGGGUUACUAUCCACUAAAGGCAGCACUCGGUGACUUUGGUUACUAUCCACUAAAGGCAGCACUCGGUGACUUUGGUUACUAUCCACUAAAGGCGGCACUCGGUGACUUUGGUUACUAUCCACUAAAGGCAGCACUCGGUGACUUUGGUUACUAUCCACUAAAGGCAGCACUCGGUGACUUUGGUUACUAUCCACUAAAGGCGGCACUCGGUGACUUUGGUUACUAUCCACUAAAGGCGGCACUCGGUGACUUUGGUUACUAUCCACUAAAGGCGGCACUCGGUGACUUUGGUUACUAUCCACUAAAGGCGGCACUCGGUGACUUUGGUUACUAUCCACUAAAGGCGGCACUCGGUGACUUGGGUUACUAUCCACUAAAGGCGGCACUCGGUGACUUUGGUUACUAUCCACUAAAGGCGGCACUCGGUGACUUUGGUUACUAUCCACUAAAGGCGGCACUCGGUGACUUUGGUUACUAUCCACUAAAGGCGGCACUCGGUGACUUGGGUUACUAUCCACUAAAGGCGGCACUCGGUGACUUUGGUUACUAUCCACUAAAGGCGGCACUCGGUGACUUUGGUUACUAUCCACUAAAGGCGGCACUCGGUGACUUUGGUUACUAUCCACUAAAGGCGGCACUCGGUGACUUUGGUUACUAUCCACUAAAGGCGGCACUCGGUGACUUUGGUUACUAUCCACUAAAGGCAGCACUCGGUGACUUUGGUUACUAUCCACUAAAGGCGGCACUCUGCCUCGUUUCUCAAAUUUCAAGAGGACUGAGUCAAAUCUGCAAGAAGCCAAAGUAUUCCCCAACUGGCAGAUGGUCAAAGGCCAUGAAGAGACCGUUCUUAGAGGAAGAAGUUGAGUCAAGGGAAAAAAUGCUCCAGAGUACUAUUAGCUAGAGAAAUGCAAAUUACAACAACUGGGAGGUCCAGCCUCCCUCCUAUCACAUUGGUUAAUGUGACAGAAAAGGAAAAUAAUAAAUAUCGGAGGGGAUAGGGAAAGGCUGGAACCCUGAUGGAGGCCAUGCUGGAGUGCAGUCUGGAGCCAUGGCCAAAGGACCACCAAACGAUGCAUGCCUUUGGACCCAGCGACACGGCUGCUAGGUCUGUAUCCCAAAGAGAUCAAGGAGAGGGACGGGACCUACUCGUACAAAGAUAUUGAUCGCAGCUCGUUCUGUGGUGGCAAAGAAUUGGAAAUGGAGGGGACGACCAUCCAUGGGGGAAGGGCUGUGGUCUGGGCUUAUGAUGGAGUCCCAAUGUGCCAUGACAGACAAAAUGAGCACAAAACACCUGGAAAGGCUUAUAUGAAGUGAUGCAAAGCAAAGUGAGCAGAGCCAGGAGUAAUAGCAAGAACAUACGAUGGUCAGUGCAAGGAUCCAGGACAACUCCAAGAGAUUCGUGACAAAAAAGGCUAUCGACCGCCAUAGAGGGAACUGACAAAGUCUGAAUACAGAUUAAAACGUGCCAUUCUUCACUUCA